GACGAACGCUGGCGGCGUGCUUAACACAUGCAAGUCGAACGGAAAGGCCCUGCUUUUGUGGGGUGCUCGAGUGGCGAACGGGUGAGUAACACGUGAGUAACCUGCCCUUGACUUUGGGAUAACUUCAGGAAACUGGGGCUAAUACCGGAUAGGAGCUCCUGCUGCAUGGUGGGGGUUGGAAAGUUUCGGCGGUUGGGGAUGGACUCGCGGCUUAUCAGCUUGUUGGUGGGGUAGUGGCUUACCAAGGCUUUGACGGGUAGCCGGCCUGAGAGGGUGACCGGCCACAUUGGGACUGAGAUACGGCCCAGACUCCUACGGUAGGCAGCAGUGGGGAAUAUUGCACAAUGGGCGGAAGCCUGAUGCAGCAACGCCGCGUGCGGGAUGACGGCCUUCGGGUUGUAAACCGCUUUCGCCUGUGACGAAGCGUGAGUGACGGUAAUGGGUAAAGAAGCACCGGCUAACUACAUG
This 468-nucleotide ribosomal RNA is filed under the name uncultured bacterium. Its description in RNAcentral is "partial 16S ribosomal RNA". It matches the Rfam family "Bacterial small subunit ribosomal RNA", at positions 28 to 507 of the family's 1533-position model. The record is from RNAcentral.